ACAUACUCGGCGCUCGAAAAGGCUGGAGGCUCAUCAGUCCAAAUUGUUGUAUCGGAGACUGGUUGGCCAUCAGCUGGAGGACAAGCGACAUCAAUAGACAAUGCCAGGACUUACAACAAUAACCUGAUCAAGCAUGUCAAUGGGAAUUCUGGAACCCCAAAAAGGCCUGGAAGGGCUAUUGAGACUUACAUUUUUGAUUUGUUUGAUGAAGAUCAAAAGAGUCCAGAAUAUGAGAAGCAUUUUGGGCUCUUUCUUCCAAAUAGGCAGCCAAAGUACCCAAUCAGUUUCUAACUAGAUUGAGGAAUCAACUGUAUGACAGGAAUAAGGACAGAUAGACUCCAUCUGCUGUCUCUCCUGCUUUUAUAAAUUGUCAUCUCAAAUAAGGGUUGCUCUAAUAAUUUCUAGCCUUGGCAACGUAUGUGUGAACAAACACAAAUUUUUUGCUGCUGGAGCAAUUAAAUGUUGGUAGUUGCUAAAAUGUUUUACUACAUGUUUAGUUUCUAAACAUAGGUUAAUUACGAAAAUUGCUUGGAAUGGAUUAACCUAGACCAUCAUAUGAUCAUAACCAAACAAACAUCCAGCUACCUAAGUUUUUCUCCUUUUUCUUUUGUUUCAGGUUAGAGCUAUCAAAAUUUAGCAAGCAAAUGAGAAAAAAAAAAAAAAAAAGGUUUUGGUUCGUAGUAUCAGCAGUCAUAAUCUAGUUCUGCGUGUUUCAGUCAGCUUAAUUAGUCUACCGUAUGUUCAACUAAUCUUUCCAGUUCAUGGUUUCUCAUAUUUGUAUGUGACAUGCAGAUAUAGCAAGUUGCCAAAUUAGAACUUAGGAUUGAUCCAUUAUUGACAGUAAAAGUGUCAAAUAGCAAGAUCAUCAUAAAAAAAAAAAAGAAAAAGAAACCAUCAUAAAAAUAAUGUUUAGUUAAAUAUGAAUACUGAAAAUUUAAAAAUAUACAAUUAAACUAGUUUUUUUUGUUUGUUUGUUUGGUAUCACUUGUAAAUAUUGAGUAGUUGUAAAUUCUAAUUUGUUUAUAUUUGUUUAAAUAGUAAAGGUACUAGAUUAUAUGCGCCUUUUAUUGUGACAGCUGACAAGCGCAUCAUAAAAUAAAUAGGCAGUCUAAGUCACGCCGCCGCAAGGAUCGAACACUCGCUUCGUGCAGUGUUGAAAUUUUUUCAGACGAAAUGUUUGCAGCAAGAAAGGGGAGAGGCAAAUUAUUUUUCUAUAUGUGAUAGGUCCAUCGCCACCACAUGACGACGCUCAUAACGUUUUAAAAAUAAUCUAUUUUAUCCCCUCUAGUUUCAUAUAAAGUAAAAAUUUAAUAGAAUAUAACCUUUACGAUGUUAAUAGUUUUUUUUUUUUUUUUUUGUCAAACUUCAGCUGUAUUAUAUAAAUACGAUGUAAAAAUUUAAUAGAAUAUAACCUUUACGAUGUUAAUAGUUGAAAUAUCAAUAUUGUCCUCGUUUAAACAUUGAGUCGGACAUUGACCUAACCACUUUGUACAAAACUAUUGAAGGGUUAUGGAAAUAAAUAGAAAAAUCACAGAGAGUUUACUGGGUAUUAUAAUUUUGUCUCACGUAUUAUUUGUUUUACCGUGUUUAUUCAAUCGCCAUAAUCGUUGAUGCUUUUCAUCAUUUUUUACUUUACAUAGAACUACAGAGGGGUUAUAUCACUAUUUUGAAGGUUUAAGAGAAUUAUCUUACAUUAUUCAAAACCACAGCGAGAGUUAUGUGUAAAUUUACCCUUGUUCUUGAAAGCCGUAGAGCACUACUAAAUAAAAAGUCCAAGCAACAAGACUUAGCUAAUCUGAUUAUGAUACCGAAACAAACCAAGAACAACUAUUGGAACUUGUAAACUUGAGUUUAGUAAUCGGACGUGAUGUUCCAUGCCAUCCGAGACCCUCAAAACUGAAGUAGUCAAAGAUGGAGUACCAAAAUAGCCAAUAUAGUGAUGUUGACUGCUGAGUUUAUUAUUUCCUGUACGUAAAAUUAGUCUUGUACAUUGAACUGACAUGAGAAUACUGAAUUCAACUUUCACCAAAAAAACUUCUCAAAAAAUUUGCCUGCUACAAGCUUUUUUUAACAAUUUUAGUUACAAUAAUUUCUCAAAAUUUUUAAACGAUACACUUCAAAAUAUUCAAAAAUUUUCGAUUUUUACUCAUUAGCGAGUUGCAUGGUGAAAAUAUUUUUGAUUAGAUUGAUAGUCUAACAUUGAUUUAGGGGAUGAUGAUUGAUGAGGAUGACACUACUAAACACAAGCAUUUCUUAAAUGCACUUUUCUAAGAGGGAAAAAUUCUGUAAGUUCUUUUUGGCAUUUUUAGCUUUAGUUCCAAAUGUGAACUGAAAGGACAACUUCACGAGGCUUGAUGGAGCUGUAUUAGAUUAUACAUGGAUAACUACUCAGUUCUAGAAUAUACAAGGUGGCAUGGUCAAGACUGAGGACGGCAUGCAUGUUACCUGAUCAAAUGGCUCGCAAAUAGUAAUAACAAUAAUGUAAUCGCCAGUUCGGGUUUAAAUGCUCAAUUGUCCAUUUCCACUAUAUAUAUAUAUACUCACUAUUAUCCAGUCUACUUGAUAAAAUUUGCGGUGAAUUUGCAAGAAUGGGUGAGGCAAGUGAGGAGGUAAUUCUUUUAGACUUUUGGACUAGCAUGUAUGGCAUGAGGGCAAGAGUUGCACUAGAAGAAAAACAAAUCAAGUACGAGCACAAACAAGAGGAUCUAAUUGGCAACAAAAGUGAGUUGCUCUUGAGGAUGAAUCCAAUUCACAAGACAAUCCCGGUUCUGAUUCACGAUGGAAAACCCGUUUGUGAAUCCCUCAUUGCAGUGGAAUACAUUGAUGAGGUGUGGAAAGGUAAGGCUUCACUCUUGCCUUCUGAUCCUUAUGAGAGAGCUCAAGCCAGGUUUUGGGCUGAUUUUCUUGACAAAAAGGUAAGCAUGCAUCCUAUCAUCGGCAAAAUCUCUUUCAGCUAAUUUAAACAUUGCCACAAAUAUCAUUCCUGCCAUGUUGAUGAAAUUGAGUCUUAAUCUUUUCUGCGCUGACAGUGUAUGCAUUAGCAGGUAUAAAUAUACAUCACACGUCUAGAUUUAGGGGUUAAAAUUCCAAUUGAGAUUAUUUGUUGUGUAUCCAUGUACACACUUGUGGGAAAGAUGCCUUAAGAUGAUGAGAUAUAAUGUACUCCAAUUGCAGGUUUAUGAAUACGGUCGUCAAGUCACCUGGUCAAGAAAAGGAGAAGAGCCAGAAGCAGCAAAGAUUGGCUUGACAAACUCCAUUAAGACGCUGGAGGAGGAAGCCCUUGGAGACAAACCUUAUUUUGGGGGUGACAAGUUCGGGUAUCUUGACGUUGCUGUCAUUGGACUCUGCAGUUGGUUACAUACCUAUGAGAUUAUCUGCAACUUUAAUGCGGCGACUGAGUGCCCAAAGCUGGUGGCAUGGGCUAAGAGAUGCAUGGAAAGGGAUAGUGUCUCCAAGUCUCUUCCUGAACCCAAGAAGCUCUAUGAAGCCAUUUUGGGAUUUAAGAAGGUUUUUGGACUUGACUAAAUGUGAAGAAGAAUUAAGGGUUGUUGGAACUUUGUCCUGUGACAAUAAAAAAGAAUAUGCUCAAAUAUGUCAUUGUUCAACGUUUUUUUUUUAAUAUUACUAUGCCAUUUUGUGUUUGUAAUCCGUAAUCCCAAUUACAUUUUUGCGCUUAAUUUGAUGCAUCUAUGGAAGAACUAGUAAAUUCUUUCUGAUUUGUCAGCAGCAAUUUCUAUUAUUUUGAAACAUUGGCCAAGGACUAAUUAGGUGAAAGAAUAUUUUGAACUACUUUAUACAUACAACAAGUAGAGGAAUCAGCUAUGCAAAACUCGAAAGAGAAAAGAAAAGAGGAAACGAAUUCCUUUAAUACAUGUUUUCACUAAUUUCAUAGUUGUAAAAUUAUACAAUCACACUCCCACAGCAAGAUAAAUCCCCUACAAUUUUCAUUCCCAAUUGAAACAUAUACAAAUUAUUUUUGUUUUGCCAGUAAUAAACAGAGCGUUCACUCUGGACUUAUUUGCAACAUAAACUACACAAAGGAUUUUUUUAGUCAUGAGAAACGAAAUUGGUACUUUUGUUUCUUAAUCAAUCCCAUGUUUCUUCCUCAACUUCAAAGCAUACUCAUGAACCUUAUGAAAAUCAGCAAGGGACUUUGACACACUCGCCCUUUUCAUGCACCUUUUAGCCCAUGCCACGAUCUUGGGGCACUGCGUCUCUAUGUUGAAAUUUCCAAAAAUCUCGUAGGCAUAAAACCAACUGUAGAAAGGUAUUAGAGCUACAUCUAAGUACCCAAAGUUUUCACCUCCAAAGUAAGGCUUGUCUCCAAGUUCUCCUUCCAAAAUUUUGUAGGUCUCUAUGAAUUCCAUCUUGGCUGCCUCCAGCUCUUCUCCCUUUGUAGCCCAAGUUUUUCUUCCUACAGUAACAACCUGCGUCAAACAGUUCAAAAUUUAAUUUAAUAACACCAGCAGUAAUAGAUGUUAAUUGUUUAGAGCAUAACAUUAUCUAUUUGAAACGAAAGUGACGGAUUGCUAUCUUUUGCAGUUUUUGUAGAAAAAUAUAUUAUAGCGAUUUGAUAUAUAUAUGGUAAAAAGAUAAUUGAAAAAUGUAAAAAUUUUUUGAAAAAAAAUGAUAAUCCAAACAAGGUUAAGUCAAACAAUAAAAACACAGAAACAAAUUAAAUCUACAUUGAAGCUCACAAAAAAUAUUGGAAAAAUCGUUCAAAACGUCUCUCACAUUUUGUAAAAUGACUUUUUUCGUCCCUUACUUUUAAAAGUGUAUUUUUACGUCUCUUACAAAUUCACAUUGGUCAAAUUUGGUCCUUAUCUAGGUUUUCGACUAGUUUUUGGCCGGAAUUCAUCACAUGCCUUGCAUGUGAUCAUUUUUUAGGGGCAAAAUUAUCAAAUCAAAAUUUACAUAAUCCAUCUAUAGUCCCUUACAUUUCACAAAAUGAAUUGUUUCGUCCCUUACAUUUUACAGCAUGUGAUCAUUUUUUAGGGGCAAAAUUAUCAAAUCAAAAUUUACAUAAUCCAUCUAUAGUCCCUUACAUUUCACAAAAUGAAUUGUUUCGUCCCUUACAUUUUACAAAAUAAAUUUUUUCAUCCCUCAGAUUUCUCAAAAUGAAUUUUUUUAUCUCUCAUUGACCACAUGUACGAAUAAUUUUUAUUUUUUUAAAUUCAUGAAUAUAUCUAUUUGAUUCCAUCUAAAUAGUACAAGUAAUAUGUAAUAUAUCUCUAUUUGAUUUCACCUAAACAGAUCGAUAUAUACAUGGGUUUAAAUCUAAUAAUUUUGUUUUAAACCUAUAUAUAUAUAUAUAUAUAUAUAUAUAUAUAUAUAUAUAUAUAUAUAUGAUUUCACCAUGUGAAUCUAUUCAAUAUUUGUAAUCUUUUCUAUUUUAGUAAUAAUUCAUUUAUUGAGUUGUUUAAUAAGAGUAUCUAAUUAAUCGGUGUUAAUUCGAAUUCCAUAGUCAUGUUAUCAAAUUGCAGUUUAAAUUUGAAAUUUUUAUUCGCUACCUUUAAGACCAAUAGUUGAAUUUCUUACCUUAUGAUUAUUUUAAAAUUUGAAAGUGUCAAUUACUUACUUCUUUUUGUUAUACUUUUCCUUUGUUUAUUUUUUCUGUCUAAAUUUAAUUCGAUAUAAACACUUGAUAAUGUUUAGAAUUAAAUGUUUUCUUUGUUUUCAAUUUCGAGUAAAAGGAAUGAACAUGAGUAAAAAACUAAUAAUUUUUUUAAACCCCUGUAUAUAUCUAUUUUAAUUUCACAUAAAUAGUAUGUUUAGGCGAAAAUUAAAUAGAGAUAUAUUACAUGCUAUUCGUAUUGUCCAUGUGAGAUCAAAUAGAUAUACAAAUUAGUUUUAAAAAAAGUUAUUCAUACACAUGAACAAUGAAAAAUGAAAAUUUUUAUUUUGUAAAAUAUGGGGGAUGAAAAAAUUCAUUUUGUGAAAUGUGAGGGACGAAACAAUUCACUUUGUGAAAUGUGAGGGAUAAAAAAAAUUCAUUUUAUAAAAUGUGAGAGACUAUAAAUUAAAUUAUAUAAAUUUUGAUUUGACAAUUUUGCUCUUAAAAAUGAUCACAUGCAAGGCACGUAGUGGAUUCCUACAAAAAACUAGUCGGAAACCUAGAUAGGGAUUAAAUUUAAUCAAUAUGAAUUUGUAAGGGACGUAAAAGUACACUUUUAAAAGUAAGGGACGAAAAAAAUCAUUUUACAAAAUGUGAGGGACGUUUUGAACGAUUUUCCCAAAAAUAUUUAUGAGUGAGCAAUAAUAAAUUGACCUUGGUACCUUUUUAUCAACAAAGUCAGCCCAAAACCAAUGUUUUGAAAAUCGGACAGGAUCGGCCAGUUCGAUCGGUUAAACCACGAACCGGUUAUGCCUUCGAUCCGAUUCAAUUAGAAACCCAAAGAAUUGAUUGAAUUGGUCAAAAUAGAUCAAGAACUGGUUGAACCGGUCAAAAUCGAGAGGUUCAACCGAUUUUUAUUAAGUAUUUAUUUUUUAAAAUAAAUAUUUUAGUUUAUUCAAAAUUGUUAAUACUAAAAUGAAUAAAAAAAUUAUUAAAUCUUUGAACCGGAAUCGAACCGAUUGAACAAGUCAAGCUAUGAACUAAAAGAUUUUCCGAUUCACUUUCCGGUCCGGGUUUAAAAACAUUGCCCGGAACCUGGCUUGAGCUUUCCUGAAGGGGUCAGAUGGCAAGCAAGGAUUUUUAUCACGCCAUACUUCAUCUAUAUACUGAACAAUAAUUAUCGACAGAAAGCCCGGAAUUCAUAGCACGAAUUGCACCUAUCAUGGAUGCAAUUUUCUUGUGUUAUUACAUCAAAUAGUUCUUCUAGGAAAUUCUCAUCUUGAUUACACGUCUUCUUCUUGAUAACUACUGUUUGAUGAAUCGACAAAAUGUCAAUUUUCAAGUCGGAAGUUUAUGAAAUGCAUCUAACUAGUUCCGGUCGAGACGAAAUGCUUUCAUUUUACAUACAUCUCUCAGCAACAGAUAAUAUGAAACAAGUUUAGAAUUUGAUCCUAAUCGGUCUAAUAAAUCUCUCUCUCUCUCUCUCUCUCUGUGGAAAAAGGAAGAGACGAAGACUUUGACUUCGAGUCAAUGUUAUCAAAGGCCAAAGAAAUGAGAAUGUGGCAUGUUAGAAUUUAAUGAAUUGCGAAAAUUUCUUUCUUCCAUUAAAACUUCCAUGCCCGUUACGUCCAAUUUGGAUACAGGCCAUACAUAAUACAUGAAAGUGAAGUUUGCCUAGCUAAUUCAGAGUUGACCAAUUAUUUGGUUUGACUGAUUCUAGUCUUUCCCUCAAAGCCAAGCCAUGACCAGAACUAUUUUGAAUAAUCAUCCUUUUUGGUUUUGUUCACAACUCAUUUUCUGUUACCGUGUUUUGUUGGUUUAAGCCGUGUUUCCACAGAGUGAUUGACCUGCGGUGCAGAAGACUGAUCAAGUCAUCAAGUUAGAUUCUAACUUUUCUAUGCAUCUUCCUUCAUACCCUUUCUGUAAAAGGGGUGCUCAAUUUGUAGCUCAUCAAGUAGUACUGGAAUAUUGCUUGUUUCAUUAUCCAUGGCUGGUGAAAAACAACAAUUCUGAAUUCACGGCCACUAUGUUUGUUAUUGGGCUGCUGUUACUUGCAACAUUUGAUUAUACAGGUUUUCCUCUCUAUCCUGAAUUACAAUGCAAUGUAGCCUCUAAAAUCUAAAAUCUUGAUAUGCAGAGUGUUUGCAGAAUUAUAGAUCAAAAGUUUUGUAAAUGGCAUAUGAAAAGCCUAAAAUCAGACCUGGUGACACUAGCAAUUACUGGGGCUGGUAAGCCAUACUGUAGUCAGUUGUCAAAUGACUUUCACCAAUUAAUAAGUAAGUGGUUUCUCUACUUGUUCAGAAAAAGAGGGGAAAUGUGGAGGUAUUCAUUAUCAGUUUAUCCUACAAAAUGAAUGUAAAGCUUUGUUACAUAAUCAGCCCUGGUUUGCAGAAUGAGCUUAAUCAGGUCAAUCAAAUCAUUGUGCAUAUGAAAUUUGAUGCAGGGGCUCAAACAGGAGUUUGUUAUGGAAGGCUUGGGAGCGGACUUCCAUCUCCCGCAGAUGUUGUAGCCCUUUGCAAACAGAACAACAUCAAAAGAAUGCGAAUUUACGAUCCUGAUCAAUCCACACUUCAAGCCCUAGCAGGUUCAAAUAUUGAAGUCAUUCUUGGGGUUCCCAACACUGAUCUUCAGAAUGUUGCUGCAAGCCAAGAUAAUGCAAAUAAUUGGGUCAAAAACAAUGUCAUCAAUUAUCCUAAUGUCAAAUUCAGGUACAUUGCAGUUGGAAAUGAAAUCAGCCCACUAAAAUGCAUGGCUGGGUGCCCAGACUUUGUUCUCCCUGCCAUCCGAAACAUCUUCAACGCAAUUUCUGCAGCUGGGCUAGGAAACCAGAUCAAAGUUUCCACUGCUGUUGAAACUGGACUAAUUGGAAUUAGUUUUCCUCCAUCAGCUGGCACUUUCCAACCUCAAGUCCAAAUGUUUAUCAAUCCCAUAGUUCAGUUCUUAGCUAGCAAAGGCGCCCCAUUACUCGUUAACGUGCAUCUGUACUAUGUCUACAUAAACAAUCCCGAGAGCGUAGCUCUUGACUUUGCUCUUUUUACUGCUUCGGGCAUUACCCUACCAGAUGGUGUAAAGUAUCAAAAUCUUUUUGAUGUUAUCUUGGAUGCAAUAUACUCGGCCAUCGAAGGGGUCGGAGGGUCAUCUGUCGAAAUUGUUGUAUCAGAGACAGGCUGGCCAUCAGAUGGAGGAGGACAAGCUACAUCAAUUCACAAUGCCAGGACUUACAACAAUAACCUGAUUAAGCAUGUCAAUGGGAGUUCUGGAACCCCAAGAAGGCCUGGAAAAGCAAUUGAAACUUACAUUUUUAAUUUGUUUGAUGAAGAUCAAAAGAUUCCAGAAUAUGAGAAUCACUUUGGGAUCUUUCUUCCAAAUAAGAAGGGAAAGUACCCAAUCAGUUUCUAACUGGAUUGAGGAUUCAAGUGUAUAAAAGGAAUAAGGAUCGAUAGACUUCAUGUGUUGUCUUAAUUUAGCAAGCAUAGGUACAUUAUGUAAAUUGCUUGGAAUUAGAUUAACUUAGACCAUCGUAACCAAAUAAAUACAGCUACCUAAGUUUCUCUUUUCUUUUUUUUUUUUCCCAGGUUAGAGCUAUCUUAAUUUAGCAAGCAAAUGAGAAAAAAUUUGAUUUUGGCUCGUAGUAUCACCAAGCAUAUUUUAGUUCUGCGUGCUCCAAUCAGCUUAAUUAGUCUACCAUAUUUUCAACUAAUCUUUGCAUGUGACCUGCAGAUUUAGCAAAACAACAAAUUAGAACUUAAUUAGGAUUAAUCGAUUAUCAAUAGUAAAAGUAACAAAUAGCAUGAUCAUAAUCAAAUAAUGUUUAGUUAAAUAUGAAGAGUGAAAAUUUGAAAAUUUACAAUGAUACUGUUGUUUGGUAUUGCUUGUAAAUACUAUUAAGUAUUUGUAAGUUCUAGUUUAUUUAUACUCGUUUAAAUAGUAAAAGUACUAGAUUAUAUACGCCUUUAUUUUUCAUUUUUAUUUUCGGAUUUUUCUGUAUCAUGUGGUAAUGAGCCGAUUUUUUUUUUUUCCUCCUAACGUACUUACUUUGUACCAUCAACAAUGACAAUAGCAUAAUGGUAAUUUUCUACGGUACACUUUUAUUCUAUUUGUUCAAAUCCUCAUAUAAGAAAUUAUCAAAGUUAAUAUAAUGUUGUCGUUAAGAGCCAAGAAAAAAACUUAAAAAAAAAAUAUUGAUGGCAGCAAAAUUAUUAGAAAGAGUUAAUCGGGGAAACACACAACAUCUUUAGCCAAGUCAGACGGAUAAUGGUCACAUGAAGUGUUCAACUUCUGGAUGGCAAUGAGAAUGUUAUCGUUUUCAACUAAACAAAGUUAUCAAAGUCUGCAAAACUGCCAUACUCCACAACCUUCCUAGACUUGUGUUUUCCACAAAACAUAAUUCACUAAUUCAUGAAAUAAUGAAUUAAGUAUGACUUUUCACACUAUCAAAACUAAUUGUUUUCAAUAAUAACCCGCACCACUCGUGAGAUUUAACUUCAACACGUACAUAUUCUUACUGCUUAAAGGACUUUAGGAGUGGCUUAGCCUUAACUUAAUUCUUGGAUUCAUACAUGGAUUCAUACAUGUUUGGCAUGUAGUGAUAAAGACCUCUGGACUAGGAAAUCCUUAAAAGUGUGAAGGCUUCCAUAGUUUCUGUCGAUAUCUAUGUUUAACUGCUACUUUCGUAUAGAAUAUUCGCAUCCCAUAUUGACAUUUCAAUUGCCGUAAGCCUGGAAUUUAUAGAAUGAAUUGCGCCUGUCAGGGAUGCAAUUUUCUUGUGUUAUACAUCAAAUAGUUCUUCUAGGAAAAUCUCAUCUUGAUUACAUGUCUUCUUCUUGAUAACUACUGUUUGAUGAGUCGACAAAAUGGCAAUUUUCAAGUUGGAAGUUUAUGAAAUGCACCCAACUUGUUCCGGUCUAGAUGAAAUGCUUUCAUUUUACAUACGUCUCUCAGCAACAGAUACUAUGAAACAAGUUUAGAAUUGGUCCCAAUCGAUCUAAUAAAUCUCUCAUUUCCUCUCCCUGUGGAUAAAGAAGAGACGAAGACUUUGACUAGGAAUCAACGAGUGUGUUUGGAUAGAGUAUUAUUUUAAAUAAUUCCAGUAGCACUUUUUGUGAUGUCACGUAUACGAGAUAAAAAGGUGAUUGAAAAAAAAAAAGUGGAUUAGAGAAUGUGUUUAUUAUGCAAGUAAAAUAUUAUUUAAAAAAAUUUGCUAUCCAAAAUGUUGUCAAAGGCCAAACAAAUGAGAAUAUGGUGUAUUAGAAUUUAAUGAGAAGAAAAUUUCUGUCUUCCAUUAAAACUUCCUUGCCAGUUAGGUCCAAUGUGGAUAUGGUCCAUACAAUGAGAGUGAAGUUUACCUAACUAAUUUAGAGAUAACUAAACCAACUUUUGGGUUUGACUGAUUCUAGUCUUUCAUCUAAAGCCAAGCCAUGACUAGAUGGUUUUGUUCACAACUCAUUCUCUGUUUUCAUAUUCUGUAAUGUUACUGCAAACAUUCUUCCAGAGAUGGCACCUAAUUUUGUACUUAGUCAGAAAAAGAGGUUAUUCAUCUACUAUUGACAUGUAAUAAUAUUUCAAUGAUCAAUCCACCUUAUUCUUUACUUGAGCAGUAAUUGUUCUAGCUCCUCUUAGCCAAUCUGGUUAAUAUUCCUCCACUAAACAAUAAUUGCAGAAAUAACCAUCUAUUGAGUUGGUAGCCACCACAAAGGCCUUAAGUGUUUUUGUGGGGUGAGAAGUCAAAAGUUUCGAAUCUUGUCUCCUAUCAAAUGAUAUUUAACAUAUGACUUCUUCUAAAUCUAGCAGGUGCUUAACGCACCCGUCUGAUUUGAUGGUAAUUCAGUUCCAAUUGAUCCAUAGGAUCUAGUUGAACCUGUCUCUCUUCACUCCAAAAAAAAAAACCAUUAAUUGCAGAAAUGAAAAGUAAGAGUUGCACAUGAAAAAGUCACGAGCUAUAUAGUUUAAUUCCUCUCUAGUAAGGACUCAUAGCCAUGGCUCCAUUAGAUGCAAUUCAGUCCUCAGGAACUGGAAGUUGUUAUACGGUGGCAACCACGUUGCAGGCCCUCUAACCAAAAGUUCUACCAUGUAACAAGUCAUACCCUUUGCACACCAAGUCUUGGAAACCAAAAUAGGAAGAAACUACAUGUAAUUGGACGUGCAGAGUUUCUUGUGAAGGAGUACUUCUGUUUAGCAUAUGCUGCUGCAAUUAUGGUCUAAGACCAUAUUUCCAGUAAAAUAAGCUGAUUUUCAAAGUGCAUUAAAACAUUAGGGCGGCAUAUAAGAUUAUUAGUGAUUGAUUGAGGAAGUCAUUCUCAUCAAGGACAUAGAAAAAUGUUUGAAAAUUCAAAAUUUAACACCUGGGCAGGCGAAUGACGUGCUCUAGAAAUUAGCCACCCUGCAACAGCGAUGUUUCCACAGAGUGAUUGUCCUGAAGUGCAGUAGACUUGUCAAGUCAUCAAGAUUUUAGAUCCUGACUUUUACUUUUCUAUGCAUCUUCCUUCAUUUCCUCUCAAUAAAAGGGGUGCUUAAUUUGCAGUUCAUCAAGUAGUAUUAAGUAGUACUGGAAUAUUGCUCGUUUCAUUAUCCAUGGCUGGCGCAGAACAACAAUUCAAGGCCGCUAUGUUUGUUAUUGGGCUGCUGCUACUUGCGACACUUGAUUAUACAGGUUUUCCUCUCUAUCCUGAAGUACAAAGCAAUGUAGCGUCUAAAAUCUAAAAUCUUAAUAUGCAGAAUGUUUGCAGAAUUAUAGAUCAAAAGUUUUGUGAAUGGCAUAUGAAAGUCUAAAACCAGACCCGGCAACAUUAUCGAUUACUAGGGCUGCUAAGCCAUACUUUAAUCAGAUAUUAAAUGACUUUAACUUAUUAAUAAGUGCUUUCUUUGCUUGUUCGAAAAAUGGGGAAACUGUGGAACUUUUCAUUAUCAGUUUAUCCUACAAAAUGAAUGUAAACCUUUCUUACUAAAUCAGCCCUGGUUUGCAGACUGAACUAAAUCAGGUCAAUCUAAUCAUUGUGCAUAUGAAAUUUGAUGCAGGGGCUCAAACAGGCGUUUGCUAUGGAAGGCUUGGGAGUAAUCUUCCAUCUCCAGCAGAUGUUGUAGCCCUUUGCAACCAGAACAACAUCAAAAGAAUGCGAAUCUACGAUCCUGAUCAAUCCACUCUUCAAGCCCUAGGAGGUUCAAAUAUUGAAGUCAUUCUUGGGGUUCCCAACACUGAUCUUCAGAACGUUGCUGCAAGCCAAGAUAAUGCAAAUACUUGGGUUCAAAACAAUGUAAGGAAUUAUCCCAAUGUCAAAUUCAGGUACAUCGCAGUUGGAAAUGAAGUCAGCCCAAUAAAGGGCGACACAGCUCAAUACGCAAACUUUCUUCUCCCUGCCAUCCAAAACAUCUUCAACGCAAUUUCUGCGGCAGGGCUAGGCAUCAAAGUUUCCACUGCUGUUGAAACUGAACUAGUUGGAAAUAAUUUUCCUCCAUCAGGUGGCACUUUCAAACCUGAAGUCCAGAAUUUUAUCAAUCCCAUUGUUCAGUUCUUAGCUAGCAAGGGCGCCCCAUUACUCGUUAACGUGUAUCCAUACUUUGCCUACAUAUUCAAUUCCCAGAGCAUAGCUCUUGAAUAUGCUCUUUUUACAUCUUCGGGCAUUACCACACCAGAUGGUGUGAAGUAUCAAAAUCUUCUUGAUGCUCUCUUGGAUGCAACAUACUCAGCGCUCGAAAGGGCCGGAGGCCAAUCUGUCGAAAUUGUUGUAUCAGAAACCGGUUGGCCAUCAGAUGGAGGAGGACAAGCGACAUCAAUAGACAAUGCCAGGACUUACAACACUAACCUGAUUGGGCAUGUCAAUGGGAAUUCUGGAACCCCAAAAAGGCCUGGAAGAGCUAUUGAGACUUACAUUUUUGAUUUGUUUGAUGAAGAUCAAAAGAGUCCAGACUAUGAGAAGCAUUUUGGGCUCUUUCUUCCAAAUAGGCAGCCAAAGUACCCAAUCAGCUUCUAACUAGAUUGAGAAAUUAUCUAGUGUAUAACAAGAAUAAGAAUAAGAAUCCAUAGGCUCCACAUGUUAUCCCUUGCUUAUAUAGAUUGUCAUGUCAAGUGGGGAUUGCUCUAAAAUUCUAGCCUUGGCGACCUAUAUAUUGAUAAAUAAAAAUGUUUUGCUGCUGGAGCAAUUUAUUCUUAGCAGUUGCUAAAAUAUUUUGGUGCAUAUUUAGUCUUUAAACAUAGGUAAAUUGUGAAACAUGCUGGGAAUUGGAUUAACAUGGACCAUCAUAACCAAAUAAAAAUAGAGCUAUCUAACAAGUUUAGCAAGAAAAUGGGGAAAAUUUUGACUGUGGUUCACAGUACUAUGAGAAAUUAUAACUUAAGUUCUCUGUGUUUCAAUCAACUUAAUGAGUCUACUGUGUUUUAACUUGUAUUCCCGGUGUACGGUUUCUCACAUUUAUGUCUCUGUUGCAUAUUUAGAAAAUCAACCAAUCAGAGAAUAGUAUUAAUCAUCUAUUAAUAGUAAAAGUAACAAAUAGCAAGAUCAUAAUAAGAAUAAUUUUUAGUUAAUUAUGAAUAGUAAAAAAAGGAAUAACACUUGUUAUUUUGUUUAUUUGGUAUCGCACCAUUUUCAGCUAUAUUGCAAAGCAUGGAAUACAAUUAGAGUGAGCUCUUAAUUCUACAAAAAUGGUAAAUAACCAACUAGAACUUGAGACGAAUCUUAAGAUGCGAGCUAAUGCCCAUAAUUAAACUCGGCAAAGUAAAGAUUUGCAAUUGAAACUAGGGAUAAUUUCAGAUACCUCCCUUGAGGUUUCUAACAAUUUCAUUUAGCUCCCUCAAGGUUUUAAAAAUUACACAUACCUCCCUUAUCAUUUAAAGUAAUAAUACUACCCUUAAUUAAUGAAAUUCCCUUAUUUGGUAUGCUUAUACUUAGAAUGACUUUUAAAAUUAUUUUUUCAUUCUUUUUUCUUCUUACUCCUUUUUUUUAUUUUUUGCCAAUAAAACUGUAUAACUAGCAUUAUUACCUCUGGUUUCUAUUAUAACCAAAUGUCGAACUAGUGAUUUUUUUUUUAUGAGUCAACUUAUAUGUAAUCCAAUGUUUUUGGUGAUCUUUGUUUUCUAUUUUUUGGUAUUAAAGCUAAUAGUAAAUAUAAAAAGAAAUGGCCCAAAAUCACUGUUAAAUUAUGAUAAUCCUACUACUUGAAAAAUUCAUAAACUCUAAAUGAAUUAUUUCGGCAUUUUCUUUUUAAUCUUAUAAAUCUAAAUCUAUAAUAAAAUACCAUCACAAAUAUCCUAUCAUAGUGAUAAAAUUAUUAUUAUAAUUGUUUAUCAAAUAGUAGGUAUGGACAUGAAAAUUUUGGUACCUUUUUCUUAUAAUUAUACUAGAUAAUCUUAUAAUUGUGUAGGUAUAUAACUUAAAACUCAUUACACAAGGGCAUUUUUGGGUAUUCAUUUAAAAAUUUGACCAAGUCAAUAUUAUUUUAAGAUUUAGAUACUAAAACUAUCAAAUUAAGGGAAGUAGGUGUAAUUUUUCAAAUUUUAGGGGAGUUCAGUAAAAUUGUUAGAAACCUUAAGGGAGGUUUCUGAAAUUAUCCGUUAAAACUAAGCAAACAUAACCCCACCUAGUCGACAUCUAGCAAAAAAACAAGCUGCUCAUGUAUAUUACAAGACUAGAAUAGUUGGGGAAAAAUUAGCCACUGAUUUUGGGUGGCUAGCAUAUAUGUCCCAGCAAAGUGGCAUAUAUAUUAACUUCAGGACAUAUUAAUUUGAUUCAUAAUGUCCUUACAUAUACAUAAGAAGCACUUUGUGUUUCUACGGUGCAGCUAUUUUCAAGUGCCACUUUGCUUCCAUGUGUUGUACUUUUGAGUGCUGAAACCUUUGCUAGAGCUGUUGUACCUGAGGUGGAGCUUCAAGUGCACUGCAUAUUUUCUGGAUUGUGUUUUGUGCUCCUGCCACUUAUGGGCCCCGACUUUUAAGAAAUUCAGAGAGAUAUAUAUAUAUCCUACGUAUAAUAUUCCUUUAUAUUAUAUACAUAUAUAUAUUUUUUUUCGUUUGUAAAAAAAACCAUUGUGUAUGCUGAAGGCAUUUUGUAUAUACAUAUAUAUAUGUAUAUUUAGAGAUAUAUCUAAGAUAAAAUAUAUAUAUAUAUAUAUAUAUGUAUAUUUAGAGAUAUAUAAAAUAGAGAUAUAUAAAAUAGAGAUAUAUCUAAGAUAAAAAAUUUAAUCACAUGUUUCUGUAAAUCGUUUAUUAUUGUAAUCCUUUAUUAUUUUUUAUAUGUAAAGAGAUAAAACAAUCCACUCACUUCAACGAAAAUUUAGGUAAGUGCAUAGGUUCCUUGUCAUCUAAAAACAUACGUGUCAUUGUUUACAAUUUUUUACGUAUUAUUUAGCUCAACUAUUGAACGAAAAUUUAUGUAGACACACAGGUUCCUUAUCAUUAUCAUCAUUUCAAAAACAUACGUGUCAUGUAUCAUUCAGCUCUUGCUUACAAUUCAUGCUUAGCUUUUGUUAAUUGUCGGCCAUUUACCUUUGCUGUUUACCAAAUUCUUCUGGACAGUAUCUGUUUUCUGCAUCAUUGCAUGGCACCGCUUGGUUAUAUUUGUAAUUUCCCAUUUCUUUCAUUGACUUGUAAGAUACAAACAGUCUUCAUGCAAAAUCGACUGCAUACUUCAGCUUUGACUUCCAUGUAAACCUUGUUCUCGGUUCUUUUGAAUACAACAAUUCCCACGCAAGGUAUUCUCUGAACUUCCGUCUCUCUGGUUUCUUUGUUUAUCAGAAAUUCUACGGUUACUGCUUUAAUAUCUUUUAUUCAGCUCUCCAACAAAUUUGCUGCACUGCUGUCUGCCUUAGCUACCAAUGGAGGUAUUGUUUUGCUAGAUUUAUUAACAGGUCUGUUAGUCCAUAGUUUAUGUCGGUCGUUUUUGCUGUUGUUGCUAUCAGUAUUUUCUGCUUAUCACGCUUAACAAGCUCCUACUUUAUUCACUGUGUAAUUAUAUUAUAAAAAAUCUCUUCCAUUAUAAUACGGACAACAUGAGUUCCUCUAAGUUACAUCCACCUAACAAUGCUCUGAAUGUCCGUGAGAAAAAAUCUGAGAAGAAUAGAAAAAAGAGAGAAAGAUUUGCUGCUCUGUCGGUAGAAGAAAAAGAAGCUCAUCGAAAGAAAAAUAGAGAUGCGUAUCACAGAAGAAAGUUAAGCAAACUCUUGUCCAAGCCACUUGCUGAACAAUCUCAGCAGAUUUCCAGACCAUCAGAUACUCCAGGCUCUGGUUUACUAGCUAUUUCUAACAACUGUGCUGAUGGUAGCUAUUUCCACCGAUGCAAUAACCUGUUGCCACGGACGAAGAUAUUAAUGUCAGAAUUAAGUGAACAUGGUCGAUGUGUCACAUGUAUGUUUCGCAAGCUUCGUUCACCCUUUCUUUUUUUUUGUUGUCUGCAUGUUGAGUUUCUGUUUACCCUCUAUUGCAGCUCCAAAUCUUCAUGGAAAUGCAUCUGCUCAGAAAAUUGAUGCGUAUGUCACCAAAAUUGCCUCUCCUAAUCCUCAGCUCUCUGCAUGUAACAGUCAAUCUGGUGGAUCAAAAUUAAAGAACAGUGUGUCUCACUUUUCCACUUAUGAACAAGGUCUUCAUCCCUGUUACUUUUAUAGAAGUAUUACUACCAUUAUCAUAACUGUUGCUUCAAAAUACCAUUGUAUUGUUCUAACAUUCUUCAAUUGCAGGUAGUUCUUCAGGCACGAACCACAAGCAUGUCUGCUCACAUCAUACUACUCCAUACACUUCAGGUGGACCACUACUUUACCUAACUUUGUAUUAAAUAUUGCCAGAUUUUAUUGGCCAUAGAAAUGUAUUUUUGAACAUAUAACUGGCCACCAGGUUCUUCAUACUUAUUCAUUUAUUCUUUAUGUUAAACUUACAGCUAACUCAUUUGUCUGUAUGAGCUGCUACAACUUCUCUCCAGAGAGUAUUGAACAAGUUCCAGGUAUUUGAUGCUUCAGUACCGUCAUAUAUUUUGUUUCUUCUUAAAUUACAUUCAGUUUGUUUACUGUAAGUGACACGAUGGGUUCCUCUUUAUAGAACUGUCAUCACUUGUUACACGAUAUCAGGCUACUCGACAGUUACUAGGAUCUACUGCUAACAAAAAUGGAGGUUUAGGUUGUCCUCUGUCACCAAGUUUCAUUAUUGUAAUACUUGCUACACCAUCAGUCUACUUCUCACCGUUGCCAAAAUCUUCUGAAUAAAUGUACAGCCAACACAAAAUCAGUGCUGGAAAAAACUCAGACCGUUAAUAAGACAACUAAGAGACCAAAAGGUAUUUUGAAUAUAGUUUAUUGUACAUGUAGAGUUCUGUUCCAAACCUCUACUCUUCUGUUCAAUAGUUACAAUUACAUUGAAUGUAUUGUAGGGAGAACAAAUCCAGAUGGGAUUGGAGCAUUGAAAUUCAUUAACGAUGAACCAGACAUGUUGCCUUCAAAGCCACAUUGCAGUUACUGUGAGGCAAAAAAGUUCCAUUCUGAAACACCAAAUUUUUGUUGUUCUAAUGGUGAAGUGGUUCUCCAGCAAAACAAACUUCCGGAUAUUUUGAUAGAACUAUAUACUGGUCGGUCUGAUGAAGCCGCUUCUUUUAGAACAUAUGUCAGGACAUACAACAACAUGUUUGGCUUCACCUCUUUUGGAGUGCAUUAUGAUAAAUCCCUCUGCAAAAGAACUAAUGGCAUUUACACAUUCAAAGUCCAAGGACAAACUUAUCACUUCAUCAAAGAUCUGAUUCCAUCUGGAGGUUCUGGCGUCUAUCUGCAGCUAUAUUUCCAUGACACAGACCAUGAGUUAGAAAACAGACUAGCUAUAUCACAGAAGCUGACAGAGAGUAUAGUAAAAAAAAUUAUGCAUAUGAUGGAAUCCAAUCCUUACGCUUCUUUUCUUCGAAGCUUAAAACAUGUUCCAGAUCUUGACUCAUACCAGAUAGUACUUAAAUCCCAUUCAGAAAAUGAUCAGAGGGUCUUCAACCAACCAACUGCAUCUCAAAUUGCAGCUUUAUGGGUGGAGGGUCAGGAAUUUAAAGAAGGAUACACGAGACAUAUUCAAAUCUAUACAAAAGAGGGUAAAGACCACCUGUUACAAUACUAUUAUGGAUGCUAUGAUCCAUUGCAGUAUCCACUGUUAUUCCCGCUUGGAGAAACUGGAUGGCAUCCUGGUAUAAGAAGGAUAACUAUGGAAAAUCCAAAGAAGAGAAAGAGAUGCAACAAAAAAGCUAGCUGCACUACUCCUUUUCCUAAUUACAGAUCUGCACAAGAGCUACUAGAUGCUGAGGAGCAAGGUAUGCAUAGAAUCAUAAUCUAGAAUUAUAUUCUCCAGUAUGUACUUAUAAAUAUUAUGAUGCUUACAUUGAACAAUUGUAUUGCAGGUUGUAACGAUCUGGAAAACAAUAAGGAGUUUGUAUCAAUGCGUGAGUAUUAUUCAUAUAAAUUGCAGAUGCGAGAAAAAUAUACUCCAAGUGUACUUAAUACUGGCAGACUGCUACAACAAUAUGUGAUUGAUAUGUAUAUAAAGAUAGAAACCCAGAGACUUGAUUACUACAAGAAUCGACAAGAAUUAAUAAGAAGAGAGCAGCUUCAAGGUAUAAUGGACAGUGUAGUAGCAGGGCAUUGCCAGGGAUCAAGGGUAGGGCAGCGAGUAAUCCUCCCAGCUUCAUUUAUAGGUGGUCCACGUGAUAUGAGGAGAAGAUAUGUUGACGCCAUGGCUCUUGUACAAAAAUUCGGCAAACCAGAUCUGUUCAUUACAAUGACCUGCAACCCUUCAUGGCCUGAGAUCAAACAACAUAUGCUUCCUACUGAUGAGGCUCAUAACAGACCAGACUUAUUAGCUCGGAUUUUUCACGCUAAACUUGAUCUUCUCAAAGAAGAACUCUUCAGAAAAGAAAUCUUUGGACCAGUAGCUGCCUAUACCUAUGUAGUUGAGUUUCAAAAACGUGGUCUGCCCCAUGCUCAUUUUCUCAUAAUCUUGAAAGCAGGGUCCAAGCUCUACUCCACAGAAUCUUAUGAUAACAUUGUGAGUGCAGAAAUUCCUGAUAAGAUGCCCAAUCGACAUUUAUUUAAUAUGGUCCGAAAGCAUAUGAUCCAUGGUCCUUGCGGAAAACAAAAUCCAGAUAAUGUUUGUAUGCAAGGAAGUCAGAAGAAGAAGUGCAAAAAUAAUUACCCAAAGCCAUUUGCUGAUACAACCUUCCAUGGAGAGAAUACAUAUCCCACUUAUCGCAGAAGGAAAGAUGGAAAGAAAAUAAUAGUUCGCGGACAUGAGUUGGAUAAUAGAUGGGUAGUUCCAUACAAUGGAUAUCUGUUAGCAAAAUUUGACUGUCAUAUAAAUGUAGAAAUUUGCUCCACAGUGAAAGCCGUGAAGUAUAUAUACAAGUAUAUAUAUAAGGGGCAUGACAGAAUACGUUUUAGAGUAAAUUCAGAUGCUUCUGAUCGACCAGAUUCUAACAUCCAACCAUCUGCAAUUGAUGAAAUAAGGGAAUUCCAGUCGGCUAGAUGGGUAUGUGCAGUAGAGGCAACUUGGAGAAUCUUCAGAUUCCAGCUAAGUGAAAUCCAUCCUUCUGUCAUUCACCUCCAGCUCCACUUAGAAAAUUGCCAAGCAAUGAAUUUCACACCCGAUCAGGACCUUCGAGAUGUGGUGAGGAAUAGGCAUGCAAAAAGAACCAUGUUAACAGAAUUCUUCUAUAUGAAUUCAGUGGACAAACUGGCUCAGCAUCUUAAGUGCACGUACAAAGAAUUCCCAGAACACUUCGUUUGGUACCCUGGCAAGAAGAAAUGGGAACCCAGAAAACAAAAGCAUUCUAUUGGUAGAAUUGUCGCAGCAAGCAUAGGAGAAGGAGAACGUUACUUUCUUAGAUUACUCCUAACACAUGUUAGAGCUCCAACAUCAUUCGAUGACCUCAAGACAAUCAAUGGAAAAUAUAUCAGUACAUUCCGUGAUGCAGCUAUCCUUAGAGGCUAUUUUGAAUCAGAUACGUCGCAGGAGCAAUGUCUUGAAGAAGCUAGCUCGUACCAGAUGCCAUACAUACUGAGAAGGCUAUUUGCAACUCUCCUGGUACACUUUCCUCCAUCAGAUAGUAGAUACCUUUGGAAAAAAUUUGAAUAUUCUUUAUCAGAAGAUUUCAUAAGAAUGUCAGAAUUUACACCUGAUCAAAUACGAUACAAAGUACUUGAACAGAUAAAUAAUUUUUUGCAAUCAAUGGGAAAAGACAUCAACUCAUAUGCUCUGGUUCCACAUGCUCUAAACUUUAAUCAUAUGAACAAGAACACAAGAGACACAACAGCAGAAACAACAAUCACUGUCCAAGAAUCUGAUCUCCAAGCAAUUUAUCAACUAAACUGUGACCAAAAAAUUGCUUUUGAUAUAAUUAUCGAUGCAGUGUUCAAAAUAAAGAAGGGUUGUUUUUUUAUUGAUGGCCCAGGCGGAACAGGCAAAACAUUUCUCUAUCGAGCACUCUUAGCUGAAGUGAGAUCAAAAGGAUUCAUAGCACUUGCUACAGCAUCAUGUGGAGUAGCAGCUUCAAUAUUACCUGGUGGAAGAACAUCUCACUCAAGAUUCAACAUACCAUUAGAUACAACCAAAAAUACCAACUGCAGAAUCAGCAAACAAAGUUCAUCAGCACAACUUCUAAAAUCAGCCAGCCUUAUAAUUUGGGAUGAAGCUCCAAUGAUGAAUAAAAUCUCAAUAGAAGCUGUUGAUAGAUUACUCCAAGAUUUAAUGGACUGCAAUGACUUAUUUGGAUCAAAGGUAAUUGUCUUUGGAGGAGAUUUUCGUCAGGUAUUACCGGUUGUUACUAAAGGCACAAAAGUGGAUUUUAUUGAUGCUUCCAUAGUAAAUUUAUAUAUAUGGCCACAACUUCAUAAACUUCACCUGACAGAGAAUAUGAGAGCAAGACAUGAUCCUGAGUUCAUUGAAUAUCUACUCCGUAUUGGAAAUGGAACAGAGCCUGUUAUCAAUAACAACUCUAUCCAAAUACAUACUGCAUUGCUGAUAAGAUACACAAAUGACGAAGAUUCCAUCACAGAGCUCAGUAAGGCUGUAUUCCCGGAUUUAAUGGCAUUCUUCCAUGAUGAUUUUUCAGCCGUGAACCGUGCUAUACUUACAACAAAGAACGAAUUUGUUGAUGACAUCAACCAGAAAAUCAUACAUCAAUUACCUGGACAGGUCCAAGAAUACAUCAGUAGGGACAAAUGCAUUGACGAUUCUGAACAGACAAUCAUGGAGGAUUUCGUGAAUGCCUUAACACCCAAUGGAUUUCCUCCUCACAGGCUGCUCCUCAAACCACAUUGUCCAAUUAUGUUGCUCAGAAACAUUGAUCCCCCCCAAGGAUUGUGCAAUGGAACAAGGCUCAUCUGCAAAUCUUUAAACUCUAACAUUAUACAUGCAGUAAUAAGUUGUGGAGAGUUCACUGGGAAAGAGGUCUUUCUCCAUCGAAUAUGCUUCAGAAUUGAGACCAAUCCAGACUCUCCAGUAUCUUUUGAACGCAUCCAGUUUCCUGUUCGACCCUGUUUCGCAAUGACUAUUAACAAAGCUCAAGGCCAGACGUUGGAUUUUGUGGGAAUAUACUUACGUGAACCAGUUUUCUCACAUGGACAGCUAUAUGUGGCAAUGUCCAGAGCAAAAAAUAAAAACUCAAUUAAAAUGCUCAUCAAACCACCUAUAUUUGAUCCUGAACAAGACUCAAUAACAAAUAAUGUAGUGUAUAAAGAGGUCCUCGAUUUAGCACAUGAAUGAUUUGCUCACUCACACACGUGCCACUCUAUUAUAUUAUCUGUAUUCUGUUUCUAUAUUUUUUUUCACAAAAUCAUCCACCAAUUAUUCUUUCAAGUUACAGGAAGACAGAAAAGUCAUAGCAUUUGCUGAAAUUAUUCCUGGACUUCGAGAUUGGACAACAAUAGUUCAGGUUCUUGACAAACAGAAGCCGCUCCUAUCAAAAGCAGGAAAUCGCUAUCAGAAGCUUACACUCAUUGAUGGGCAGGUAAAUACACUACAAAACUUCCUGAAUUCUUACUACACCUCAAAAUACAUCUCACAUGUGAAUGGAACCAAACCUUUUGUACAGGGCACCACAGUGGAGGCUAUGAUAUACAAAUCAGACAUAGAAUUCUUUCGCAACCACUUUCGCCUGUAUAUGCGUUACAUGCUGUCCAAUGCAAGAGUUGAAUAUACUCCACUGGAAUAUCGUGUACGUGAAAAUCAAUGUACUUGGUAUAUUGACAACUCCACUGUUGUCCAGGCAAUGGAUGAACCAAAUCCCCCAGAAAUUCCUCCUGUUUUCAGAUUCACUCCUUUCAGAAGAUUCUACCAACACAUUGAUGAUACGUCAGACAUAGGUAAUAUGCAAAACUCAGAUAUAUAACUAUCUCAUAUUUGAAAAACUGCUAAUUAAUUUCUCCUUGAUGAAUGCAAAGAACAGAUAUACUUGGCAUUAUCGCAGAGGUCCAUCAACGAUUUCACAAAGGCACUACCCCAACUAGAGAGAUUGUAAUCAUAGACAAAAGGUAAUCAUUAUUGUAAAGAGAGUAAUCAGUCUAUAUAGAUUGUGCCACCAAAUUCAAUAGAUAGAUAUAAAAAAACUAAUUUUAGACAUCUAAUCAAAUACAUUGCAGCUUCAUGCCAGUCAUCCUAACUCUCUGGGGUGAUCACGAGACAGAUGAAGGCCAAGCAAUUGCCAACAUGAUUCAAUCAAUGCCACUCAUUGUUGGCCUUCGACUGAGAGUUUCAUCAUACCACAGUAAGUAUAGCUCAAAAUAUCACAAAUCCACCAUUCAUAUACUUCACCACAUCUUAGAAUAUUAAUAUCAUCUUCAAUUACAUAAAACUGCAGCUCUAAAUCUCUCAACAAAGUUUGGCUCAAGUGUUUUGGUGAACCCCCCAAUACAACAAGGUUCAAUGUUGAGGCAAUGGUAGGCGCUUGCUUCAAUUAAACUGUCCUCCGAUAUGUUAUAACAGAGUAUUUGCAAUAUUCUUAUAACUAACAAUUGAUAUCUGCUCACAAGGGCUAUGGAAAACAAAACACAGAUCAAUGACCUCAUAACACAAAGAGCAUACCUAAACCGAACCAGCCUACUACCACAACCUACAGAAGAUGAGCUCUGCACUAUCAAAGAGUUCCUGAAUUUACCAAUGGUGAGCUUCUGGAACUUUCAGAAAUCUAACUUCUUGGAUCAUUCACUUAUCUACCAAAUUAGGCAACUUAGAGUCUUAUUUCUUCUCAGAAAAAAGCUUAUUGGAUUCAAGGAAGCCCACGAUUCCUUGACAAAAGCCAACGGCUAUGGUAUAAUGCAUGCUCAAACUGUCACAAAUCCUUCAGAGCUAAACCUCAAUGGAAGAUUAUUUGCACUUCCUGCAACAAGAAUGUUAACAUUCUUCCAAGGUAACCAUCACAACAGCAACUUCACAAACUACUUCAAUAAACAUUGUUUCACUAAUUACCAACAACAAUUACAGGAGUAGGUUAACCAUAGAGCUGGCUGAUUACUCUGGAAACCUCACACUUGAUUUGUAUGACAAUGAUGCACAGCAACUACUGCCCUUCACACUGCCACAGAUUCAAGAACUCGAAGGCAAGGUCAGUAUACAUUCAUAUGCAAAACUUACCAACCUCCAAUUAAACAUAAACUCAUAUACAUUGUAUAGACUAAUACUCAAACACAAAUAUUGCAGCAUCAGCUUGAUUACACAGCUAUUGAACAGGCUAUUGAGAGUAGUAUCCUCACCUGCUUCGUGAAAAAAAUGACUAGAAAUCGUGGACCUGCCGACACAGAAAAAUACGCAGCUAUCAUAGUGCACAAAGCAAAUGCUGCAGAACUAAUAUCAAGCACUUCUAGAAAUUCAGCUUCAACUUCCACUCCUUCUACAAAUCCACUUACAGCUCCAGAAUCAUCGAACUUGACCACCAAUUCAACAAUUCUCAAUGCAACUGCUCAAAGUUACAGGGGAGCAACAAAUUUGGACAGCAAUUUGUUCACAACACUCAAAAUCACAGAAACUCCAACUAAGAAACAACGCACUGACCCGACUGACAUGGAGCUGUAGAUAUAGUAUAUGCAUCUAUGCUUUUGACCAACCUUUUGAACAUCUGAUGAACUGCCAUCUCCAUCAGUGUACAUAGGCUAUCGUUUGUGGGUUGCUAAAAGGUCUACACCAAGGCAUUAGUCUACCCUACUCCAAACUAUCUGCAUCAAAGCUUUUGACCAACCUUUUGAACAUCUGAUGAACUGCCAUCUCCAUCAAUGUACAUAGGCUAUCGUUUGUGCCUUGCUAAAAGGUCUACGCCAGGGAAUUAGUCUACCCUACUCUAAACCACAGCUCCAAUUAUGUUUUUGAACAUUUUGUAUAGCAUCAUCAGAUAUGUAGCUGUGCUUUUGAAGUGCUGAAAAUGAAAUCAGAUGUCUAACUAUGAUUUUGAAAUACCAUGUAAUUGAUGAAUACUAUUUCACGUUACUGUUAAAAAAUGGUCAGCUCAUUUCUCGAAAUAAUUAACCUGUGAUUAUAGACUUAUAACCAGUAACUAGAUACGAACCUCAUAUACUUUCAUUAUAUCUAAACUCCAAUUCAAUAACACAAUCACAACAUCUAAUAUGGUAAAUUUAUUACACAAACACUUACAUUAUAUCAAAGUACCAAAACAAAAUACACAGAUCCAAAUCCUUCAACAUAGUGCAAGCCACAAACUAAUGGCCCCAACAUCUUCACAUAAUAAUUAGUACAUAUGAAACACAAAAAAAGCCCAGAAAACCACUAAAUCAUAGCACUCUCAGCAGCUUUCUUCUGUUCUUCGACCUCAACUUGCAUGCGGUGAGCAAUUAUCUGAAGAAAAGGAAAUUCUCCAAUAUCUCCCAAAACUUCAUCCAACACGGCAAUCCUCUCAGAUCUUCGAUAAAAACUCUUAAACAAGUCAUAUAUCUCAUUCCGCAGCAAAAUAUUAUUUGCCAAGGCCCUGUUAGAACUAUUCAAACAGGUGGUAUCUCCAUUAUGGCCAGGCAAAGACCCCACCACACCAGCUAAUGACAAUCGAUUGAACAUGACUUCAACAUCAGGAUGCAAAUCACGUAAUACCGCAAAACGAUUAUGAGUAUACUCCAUCUCUAAACCACGAAAAAAAACAUCUACAUCCUAUGCUCAUAUAUAUAUACACAAAAUAGACAGUGAGUUUGCAUGCCUGAUCCCAAAGAUUCCCAAAGCCAACAUUUAUGCACCCCUGAAAAAAAAUCACAUGCAUCUGAACUCAAUGAGACAAAACCAUUUAUUACACACUGCUCACGUGAACUAUCUAUAAACUCUAUGCAUCUGAUAAAGAAAACUUCAAAAUCUGUACAGCACUACAAUCUUGAAGUGUUGAAAAUACUUCAUCGUUCACCGCCAUUAUUUCACCUGUCACGAAAACAAAAUCUCGUAAACCAACAACUUAAACUCAGCAAAC
Molecule: long non-coding RNA, 25947 nt
Filed under: Coffea arabica (coffee)
Lineage: Eukaryota; Viridiplantae; Streptophyta; Magnoliopsida; Gentianales; Rubiaceae
Description: long non-coding RNA (CARA_LNC004125)
Source: RNAcentral